CAAUAGCGUAUAUUAAAGUUGUUGCAGUUAGAACGCUCGUAGUCGGAUUCCGGGGCGGGCCGACCGGUCUGCCGAUGGGUACGCACUGGUCGGCGCGUCCUUCCUUCCGGAGACCGUGCCUACUCUUAACUGAGCGGGGGCGGGAGACGGAUCGUUUACUUUGAAAAAAUCAGAGUGUUUCAAGCAGGCAGCUCGCUCUUGCAUGGAUUAGCAUGGGAUAAUGAAAUAGGACUUUGGUGCUAUUUUGUUGGUUUCGAACACCGAAGUAAUGAUUAACAGGGACAGUCAGGGGCACUCGUAUUCCGCCGAGAGAGGUGAAAUUCUCAGACCAGCGGAAGACGAACUACUGCGAAAGCAUUUGCCAGGGAUGUUUUCACUGA
This 380-nucleotide ribosomal RNA is filed under the name uncultured eukaryote. Its description in RNAcentral is "partial 18S ribosomal RNA". It matches the Rfam family "Eukaryotic small subunit ribosomal RNA", at positions 592 to 976 of the family's 1831-position model. The record is from RNAcentral.